GACGAACGCUGGCGGCGUGCUUAACACAUGCAAGUCGAACGGAAAGGCCCUGCUUUUGUGGGGUGCUCGAGUGGCGAACGGGUGAGUAACACGUGAGUAACCUGCCCUUGACUUUGGGAUAACUUCCGGAAACUGGGGCUAAUACCGGAUAGGAGCUCCUGCUGCAUGGCGGGGGUUGGAAAGUUUCGGCGGUUGGGGAUGGACUCGCGGCUUAUCAGCUUGUUGGUGGGGUAGUGGCUUACCAAGGCUUUGACGGGUAGCCGGCCUGAGAGGGUGACCGGCCACCUUGGGACUGAGAUACGGCCCAGACUCCUACGGGAGGCAGCAGUGGGGAAUAUUGCCCAAUGGGCGGAAGCCUGAUGCAGCAACGCCGCGUGCGGGAUGACGGCCUUCGGGUUGUAAACCGCUUUCGCCUGUGACGAAGCGUGAGUGACGGUAAUGGGUAAAGAAGCACCGGCUAACUACGUG
This 468-nucleotide ribosomal RNA is filed under the name uncultured bacterium. RNAcentral's name for it is "partial 16S ribosomal RNA". It matches the Rfam family "Bacterial small subunit ribosomal RNA", at positions 28 to 507 of the family's 1533-position model. The record is from RNAcentral.